UGGUUAUCUUUGAGCAACUUUAAUGGUUAUC
RNAcentral lists this non-coding RNA (31 nucleotides) under Mus musculus (house mouse). The record is from RNAcentral. Lineage: Eukaryota; Metazoa; Chordata; Mammalia; Rodentia; Muridae.